CGUAGGUGAACCUGCGGAGGGAUCAUUAAAGAGUUCUAUAACUCCCAAACCCAUGUGAACAUACCGUAUGUUGCCUCGGCAGGUCGUGUCUACCCUGUGGUGCCCUACCCUAUAGGGCCUACCUGGUAGAUCCGGAUAACCUGCCGGCGGCCCCUCAAACUCUGUUUAAUAGUGAAUCUCUGAACUAUAACUAAAUAAGUUAAAACUUUCAACAACGGAUCUCUUGGUUCUGGCAUCGAUGAAGAACGCAGCGAAAUGCGAUAAGUAAUGUGAAUUGCAGAAUUCAGUGAAUCAUCGAAUCUUUGAACGCACAUUGCGCCCAUUAGUAUUCUAGUGGGCAUGCCUGUUCGAGCGUCAUUUCAACCCUUAAGCCUCUGUUGCUUAGUGUUGGGAGCCUACGGUUCUAGUAGCUCCUCAAAAUUAGUGGCGGAGUCGGUUCACACUCUAGACGUAGUAAUGUUUAUCUCGCCUAUCAGUUGGACCGGUCCCCUGCCGUAAAAACCCCUAAUUUCUGCAAGGUUGACCUCUGAUGCAGUGUACGGAAUAGCCGGUGAACUUAAGCAUAUCAAUAAGCGGAGGAA
Molecule: ribosomal RNA, 581 nt
Filed under: Xylaria sp. BAB-4709
Lineage: Eukaryota; Fungi; Ascomycota; Sordariomycetes; Xylariales; Xylariaceae
Description: eukaryotic LSU rRNA
Rfam family: 5.8S ribosomal RNA (bases 204-357)
Source: RNAcentral